This 492-nucleotide ribosomal RNA is filed under the name uncultured bacterium. Its description in RNAcentral is "partial 16S ribosomal RNA". It matches the Rfam family "Bacterial small subunit ribosomal RNA", at positions 29 to 507 of the family's 1533-position model. The record is from RNAcentral.
AUUGAACGCUGGCGGCAUGCUUUACACAUGCAAGUCGAACGGUAACAGGCCUUCGGGUGCUGACGAGCGGCGAACGGGUGAGUAAUGCAUCGGAACGUACCCAGAGGUGGGGGAUAACGCAGCGAAAGCUGUGCUAAUACCGCAUGUGAUCUGAGGAUGAAAGCGGGGGACCGAGCAGCAAUGUUUGGCCUCGCGCCUUUGGAGCGGCCGAUGUCGGAUUAGCUAGUUGGUGGGGUAAAGGCCUACCAAGGCGACGAUCCGUAGCUGGUCUGAGAGGACGACCAGCCACACUGGGACUGAGACACGGCCCAGACUCCUACGGGAGGCAGCAAUGGGGAAUUUUGGACAAAGGGCGCAAGCCUGAUCCAGCAAUGCCGCGUGCGGGAAGAAGGCCUUCGGGUUGUAAACCGCUUUUGGCAGGAACGAAACGGUGUCCGCUAAUACCGGGCGCUAAUGACGGUACCUGCAGAAUAAGCACCGGCUAACUACGUG